Molecule: long non-coding RNA, 1651 nt
Organism: Anser brachyrhynchus (Pink-footed goose)
Lineage: Eukaryota; Metazoa; Chordata; Aves; Anseriformes; Anatidae
Source: Ensembl
GCAGAAGCUUAGUUUGCUUUAUUAUUUUGAGGACUUGGCUUGAAGCUAUAUAUAUAUGUAUAUUUUUAACCAAAACUAUAUCUACCCUUUAUCAAUUGCUAGCUGUCAUUUACCAUGUUACUCAACCUUUGCAUGCAAAAGCUCACUGGUGUGCUGCAAAAAUCCACUGUCUGACUUUUUAGCACACAUCUUCUCUAACAUAAUUAGCAACUGACCAAAGAAAAAUCCCCUCUCUGAACACUGCUGAGUCACCAUCCAAAUAUUCCAGCUUUCCAACACGAUCAGUCAGACUAUGAGUCCAAAUGACCCCUGAAUACUGGGUGGGUAACAUUCCUACCUGAGAUGAUGAAAACUGUGAGGUUUAGAUUCCCGCUGUUUUCGAGGGAAAAGCUGAAUUGCUGUAAAGUCAAAUAAAAACUGAAAAAAUAAACAGAGCUGAGCUGUUGCUUAUGCCUUUUCCCCUGUGAGACGUGGUUACUUCAGGCUACACCUCAGACUCCUGUGAGUGUUGUAGCUAUUAGAGGAUGUCUGGGUGUCCAGAUAGAUGAGCAGUGUGCAUCCUCGGCCCCCCAGGAUUACCCUACGUGAGUUAUUGUACAACCGAUAUGGUUAUCUGAGCAGCCAUGAUGCAGAGACAGGGAGUUUUGUGAGGCUAUUUGAGCUAAAUAGCUCUUUGGCAGCUGCUUCUGCGAAGCUCUAGGCACAAUAAAGCCUUUUCAUUCAUUUUCUCUUAGUGAUCACUCAAGCCCACAGAGUUGUUCUUCCCCCGAGGGCUUCCCUUAGCUUAUGUCUCUCUUCCUCUGUGAAAUCUUUGUGAGUCUUGAGCCCAACAGCAGCAGCCUGUGUGAGGAGCUGGGUGAGGAUCUUUUUGCCGUGGGUUCACGGCAUAGUUUCACUCCAGCCAGAAGCAGAUGGCCUUCAAGGACUGCAGAACCAAUGUGCUUUCCACGACUUCUGUUCAACUAGUCAGAGAAAACCCUUGGAGUUAGCUAGGCAGGACUUAAGAGUGGUGGAUGAGGUUGUGCUGUUAUUAAUCAGCAUGUUCCAGCAGAUCAGAGCCGGCAGACAGAGCCCCAUUCCUGGCAGUAGGGUGAAUCAGGGCACAGCAUCUGAUGUUGAAGGUUGCUUUGAAGGUGCAGCUGUUCUUUGUGCAUCUCACUCUUCACAGCAAGACUUCCCAUAGUCUCUGGACCCAGUGUGCUGCCAAGCGGAUGGCUGAAUUUCUUCUGAGGUUUUGAAGGAACUCUUCUUCACAUGACUGUCCUAUCCACACACAGGACUCACCAAGCCACAUAGGCUCUAGGACAUAGGCUCAUUUGCUCUAGGAACAAACUAACUUACAAGGUGCCAUACUAUUUCCUUGGGGAAUGAGAUUCCUGCUGCAGCACGGAGGGCAUCCCUUCCUGCAGUUAGUGUCAUCAGGGAGAUUCAGUGUGUGAUGGACAAAAUCAGUACAUGCUGAUGUUGAGAAGAGGACACAGUGCUUCAACUUUCAUUCAGCAUCACCGUAGCCAACCUGCCUGUCCUCUACGUCAAUAUUUGCAAGCACAGCUACAACCUGCAGGCCAAUGCGCUGUAGAUGACAAACUUGUUUAGACCCAAGGAAGGGAGUGUUCCUUUGAAAUAAAAGGUUUCUGAUAACAGGGCGUCA